RNAcentral lists this small RNA (24 nucleotides) under Arabidopsis thaliana (thale cress). Lineage: Eukaryota; Viridiplantae; Streptophyta; Magnoliopsida; Brassicales; Brassicaceae. The record is from RNAcentral.
UCUGAGGGCCUUUGUUUUGAUGAA